Molecule: long non-coding RNA, 1337 nt
Filed under: Canis lupus familiaris (dog)
Lineage: Eukaryota; Metazoa; Chordata; Mammalia; Carnivora; Canidae
Description: lncRNA (ENSCAFG00000051977.1, ENSCAFG00805010925.1)
Source: RNAcentral
GUGUUUAAAAGCUUAGGAUUGUUUUCAUUUUGAUUGAGUAUUUAAAAAAUGUUAAGUGCCAUUUUGAGAUUCAUAGCUACAUGUUAACUGUAAAUAGAAGGACUAAGGAACUAUUUUCUCAGUCUCCUACUGUCUCCCGUGUGACAGGUGCUUUUCAUAUAUGUUCUUUCAUUUCUUCACAACAAUCCUGUCAGGUCGGUGUCACCCCACUUUACCGAUGAGAAGGCGGAAUCACAACAGAAUGACUUCCCCACCGUGGCAGAGCUUUGAGUGGCAAACACUGCAUUUUGAACUCCCUUCCAUCAUAUCAGCAUCACUUACUGAAGAAGUAAUUAGUACUACUACAAGACCCUUUCCCAGAAUCAAAGGAGAUGUUGUUCACUAAUGCUUUUUCCAAACUAGAACAUGUUACUCAAGGGAAGGGUAAGUAUUAAAUUACAAGCAGCAUGCUGUAAUAAGUAAAACAAAUAGGUAUCUAGUCCCUAUCAUUUAGAGCCCAAUGCCUUGAAUAAAUUGUCCUGUGGAAUGGAGGUCAUCAAUAGGCAUUUUAAUCUUAACAUUUCAUGUGGAUGUACUUUUGUUUUUUUUUAAUUAAUUUUUUUAAAGAUUUUAUUUAUUCAUUCAAUAAAUAGAGAGAGGCAAAGACACAGGCAGAGGGAGAAGCAGGCUCCAUGCUGGGAGCCCGACGCAGGAGUCAAUCCAGGGACUCCAGGAUCACGCCCUGGACCAAAGGCAGGUGCCAAACAGCUGAGCCACCCAGGGAUCCCCUGGAUGUACUUUUUAAAAAAGUAAUGGCAGGGGCGCCUGGGUGGCGCAGUUGGCUGAGCAUUAUACUUGGUUUUGGCUCAGGUCACAAUCUCAGGGUCCUGGGAUCAAGCCCCGUAUCAGGCUGCCUGCUCAGCUGCCUAUCUCUCUGCUCCACCCACAAAUUGCACUCUCUCUCUCAAAUAAAUAAAUAAAUCUUUAAAAAGGUAAUGACAUCUGGCUAUUAUACUGGCAGGUACUGGGUCUGUUGUGUAUCACUUAUAAUAAUUUAGUAUUCAUACUAGGCUACUUUACAAAAGACAAAAAUAAGACAUGGUCACUGCUCGGAAGCCUUAUAAUCUGAAAGGCAUUAAGAUACAGUGGAUACACAACCAUAGGGACAGAAAACUUUAUCUUUAAAAAAAUUUUUUUGGCACGAAAAAUGAGUCUUUGGUGAUUAUCAAUGAAAUGUCUUAAUGAAGUAGGUUUUGGAAUGAGAUAUUUAAAGGGAAGGUACUACUUUGCAUACGAAAGAGAAAUGAAUGAUUUGGUUUCUGGGACUUCAUGAACAAGUGAUUUUCAGCUGAUGGCAA